This 5474-nucleotide long non-coding RNA is filed under the name Daucus carota (carrot). RNAcentral describes it as "long non-coding RNA (DCAR_LNC001202)". The record is from RNAcentral. Lineage: Eukaryota; Viridiplantae; Streptophyta; Magnoliopsida; Apiales; Apiaceae.
AAAUAUGAAAGUGAUUUUAAAAAUUCUUUUAAUUAUUUGAUAAUGAUAAUAAAUAUUUUUACGAGAUUUAUAAAAAUAUCUCGGUGAUGUUUUGAAAAUAUUUUGUGGCAAGUUAUACCGUAAAUUGUUAAAAAGCGGGUUACAAUUUCAAGCACCGCCUAUGUAUAUACACAAACAACAGUUCCUCUCUGUAUAGUCUCCCUCCCUCUCCUAAGUCUCUCUCAUCUCUUUCAAUUUCUACCGACUCUGUCUCUCACUCCAACAACAGUAUUGCUCCGCUUUCCCCCGAUAGUCGCCGCCGUCCGGUUUUACGAGCCACUGUUGAAUCAUCCCGCAGCAACGCCUUCGAUUUCAAUUGGUAUACGUAUACCUCAGUUCUGCUUUGUAAAUCAGUUGUUUAACCGUUUAUUUUUGUUUCAAUUUGAAUUAUUCAAUCGAUUGCUAUGUGUGUGUGAGCAGUUGAUUUGUGUGGGUAUAAACCGAGUUUAUGUGUAUGUAUUAACAGGUUGUAUAGUUGUGUUUAUAAAAACAAAUCAGUUGUGUGAUGUAUUUAUAUAUAUGUAUGUGUGUGUGUAUUUACAUACAUGGUAAUCGAAAUUACAUUUGGGAGAAUUGUGUUUAUAUGUAUGUAUAAUUGAUGUGUGUGUAUAAUCUGAUUUAUGUGACAUCUGUGUUGCUAUGUGUUAGUUGAGGCUAGUAGUAAAGUGGUUGAUUAAGGGUAUUUUAAGAGUUAAGUAGUGGUUUAAAGAUUUAGAACUAUUCAUACUUGAGUUGAAAGUUUUGGCCGUUGCUGGUCUGUCUUGCAGCAAAAAUCUGGGUCAAUUGAGUUGAGUUAUGUGCUUAAUAUUCCUGUGAUAAUGUGCUACUUGGAGUCUAGAUCAAGUACGAAAAAGAAUUUCAAAGCUUCGUUAAACGAGCUAAAAGAUAUGUAUGUUUUAGUACAAGGCGCGCUGAAAAUUCUGGGCAGUCUUGUCCUGUUCCAUGCCCUGUUUUGCUAUCUUAAACUCAAGCUUUGCUUUUGAAAUUUUUACUAUAGUUAGAUGUUAGUGUCUGGAUUAUGUCAUUAAAAUUUUAUACAAAUAGACCAGUUUUUCUAUUUAUUAAAAUUCUUAGCGUGGGGCUGGUUCUGCAGGACAGAUUCAGGUCCUGACUUGCAGGCCUUGUUUUACUCCCUUAAACAUUGAAUUUGCUUCUGAAAUUUUUGUAGUAGAUUUGAAUAAUGUUUAGGAAUGUCUCAUAAAAUUUUUAUAUUAAAAUGAUAAAUUUUCAUUUUAUUAAAAACACAGAGUGAGGACUAUUUGAACUAUUGUCUAGUUUUCUUUCUUUGUUAGUGCAUAUUCGGAGUUUAUGUUUGAUUGAUUACAUAUAAUUGAUAAAUGGAUUCUUGUAGUGAUGGUAGCUUGUUAUUUGUUUAGCUUGAUUUCAUGUUCGAAUAUAGAGGGCUUCAUGAGUUUUACUUGAUAUAUAUGGAAAGUUAUUUAAAAGUAAAAUUGAAAGAUGUAGUGAUUAAAGAUGAGUUUGACUUUUAAUAGUUAUCAUUAACUAUAUAAGUAAGAAUGAAUUGAGAUUAUACUUGCAUAACUUGAAUUAUAUGUUGAUGCAUAUAAAUUGUAUAGAUAUGAUUAGUGAAUAAAGGAUUUGGACGUUAGUUUGGAGUAUAAUAUGACAUUAAGUUGGGAAUUGAUAAUUACCGAAGUAUAUUUGUUGAGUGACUGAUCUUGUAUCUUGCUCUGUGUUUUAUUUGAUGUUAAAUUAGUAAUUGCUGAGUAUUGAGUUUGGAUUGAGUUGUUGAUUGCUACAUAGUAUAGAAAAACAGGUGGAUAGUCUGAUAAAUAAAGGAGAUGCUGCAGAAUUUUUGUUAGAAAUUAUAUAUGAUUUGCUUAUUGAAUGAUAUUUAAUAGUUAAUAGCAAAUUAGUAUAAUUAAACCGAAUUGUGUUUAUGUGUUAAGUGAUCACUGGUAACUUUUGGUAGCUAAAAGGUUAUGUGUUUAACUGUGUGUUACGUGUUUAACUGACUCAAGGUGUAUAUACAUUAUAUAAUUAUCUAUUCAUAAAUAUGCGAAGGGUAGAUGAUUACAGACUUUGGUAGUUAUUCCGAAUUAGUUAAUAUCGCCUGGCGACUGAAGUAUCGUUUAACUCUCGUAUAGAGUCGACUAAGACAUGCUUGGCAAGUACACUCAAAAGUAGUCGUAGAGUUCAGGAUAACCCGAUAAGGCGAAGUUGCUCCAAGAGAAAGUCUAUCAGAGUAUAGUCAGUACGGAAGUUCGCAGUAUUGAGGCAAGUAUUUCUACCUCUCUCUUAUAUUGGAAAGAUCAAGUAUACAGUUCUUUUAUUCAAAGAAAAGUGUUCAUAUCCAUAUCCCGUAUUUUAGAAUUUCUGUCAGUACUUUUACCUUUCUCUUGCAAAUUAGAAGCAAGUGCACGUUCCUUUUACUUACUGCAAAUGCAUGACUGAGGUGCGAUUUUGAUUUGAAAGGUUGACUUACCAAAUUGAUGCAUAUGAUUUCAAAAUCUCUAUAAAUGGUUUUCAUAACUCGGUUUAGUUCCUCUGUAAGGCUUAUCUGUUAUAAGUAUACUUCUAAUGGAAUAAACCUUUUCUUGAAAAUGUUAAAGCUGUAGUUUUGAAACCUAUAUUGGGUAGGUUUGCGUAAGAGGCCCAGACACCGGCCCAGCGUGAAAGGUGGCUCCUUCAGCCCGGAAUACCGGAUUUCGUAAUAUUUGUGUGGCCUAGCUUGAAAAAGACUAGGUUCCAUGGACUAUAGUGCGACUGAUCAUCGGCUAUAGCAUGGUGUCUUAUUUAAAAACCCAAUGAAACAAUGAAUAGUUUGAAAAAGAGAUUAUCUUAUGUUGAAAAGAUGAUUGAUUUCAUUUUUAACUCUACAGCUUUAAGUUCAUAUAUUGAUGCAGAACUGUUUUAUCAUCGUGUACCAUUUUACUCUUUUUAUAUCAUACCCUGGUACUGAACUGUUGAUUUACAACAUCAUUAUUUAAUCCAGAGUUUACUUUUACUUCAAACAUUCCGAUUCACUUAAAUUUGUAUAUCUUGUGGCUUUCACCUAUCAUAUUCUUGCUGAGCAUUAUUGCUCAUUCUUGCUAUUCCUUCUAACCCUUUUCAGCUAGGAAUAAAGAUGAUUCACUUAAGACUAGACAAGGAUUGCAAGUGGUUAAGUUUCAAGCAAAUGGUCAGGUAGAGUAUGCAGGACGAUGUCAUUAAGACUAGAUGCAGUUGGAGUUCUGCAAUUCAAUUCAGUUGGAAAUUAGAUUUGUUUAUUUGGUUAUCAGCUACUCUUCUUAUCGAGGUUUAGCUGAUAAUGUAGUUUAAUUUGUAAUAAAGAUUUAAUAGUUUUAGUUUCUGAUUUCAAUACUGUAACCUGUAUGCGAUCCUGUUUUCAGGGGGUGAAAUUGAUUUUCAAUUUGAAUCAUUUUUUAAAAAAAAUAUCCAGGUUCUGAAAUACUUGUUUUUAUUUUCUUUCAAAAAUACAGGUUUUAAAUUAUUUUUAUUUACACGUGGCACCAAAUCCAGACCCCCGGAUUUGAGGGCUGUCACACAAGAUCUUGAUUUAAAUUUAUAAUUAAAAUGAUAGUUUGAUUAAAUGUUCCAAAAUCAGUUGGGAUAAAUAUAUUUUUUGUAAAUUAACCAACUAUUAGCAUUUAAUAUUUUUUGUAUGAAUAUAUUAGUUAAAAAACUUUUGUGAAUGAGGGGUAAUAAAUAAGUGAAAAGUGUAAUUAACAUAAAUAUUAAUGUGCAAAUACCUUAAUCAAUGAUAUUUAAUAUGUUGAAUAUAAUAAAUGAACCAUAUUGGUAUUCUUGUAAUUAUAGGUUAAGUAGGGGUAUAAUGGACAUUUCACACCUAAUUCUUUUGCUCUUUUUGCCCUUGGUUGCAAUUUAAUAUAUAGAAGUAGAUUUUCUAUAACUCAUGACAUUUUUCAAGAAUAUUUUCGGUAACACCGUAAAAACAAGAGUAUAUUUACCGAAAGAAAAAUUCUUACAAACAGAGGAAUAUUUCAUUUUUUUGUUGGAAGGUGCAAAACUAAUAUUCCCCAGGAUCAUCUACUUCAUUCUCAAGCAGCUAAAGGGAGAAGAAAAUAUAUUCAACAAGUACUGCAUUAUAGCAUUCCCAUCAACCAACACAAAGCAAGAAAGCACCGAGAUAUGGGUAUAUCAAAUAGACCAGUCUAGUUUCAAAUAACAUACAUACAUCUCCCUUGGGUAAGCUGCCACUACAAACUUCACCCAAAUUCACAGUACCCUGCAACUGCAGUGUAUUCGACAAAAAUCCAAAAACAAGUGGCCUGUUUGACCUUGUAUAUUAUAUCAAUAUUCUCAAAGGCGUGAACUAACUUAAAAAAGCUUGAACUUCUUUGAAACUUCAAAAAAUGAUUUAAAGGAAAGCUUGAAUUCCCAAAAACAAAAAAGAGCUUCCCGUCUUGAUCCCUUUUAGAAGGAUAAACAGAACAGGCCAGUAACAAUCAGAAAAGAUGUGCCCUUCGGCUAUGGUGUGUUGGUUUAGAUUAUCUCCUGGCAUCUUUCGAAGUCUUGGCCAAAAGCUUGUUACCUCCACCGUUCCUCCAUACACCACGUACAGGCAAUCCUUCAAGGUUCUUAUUACCAUUGAAAGCUGCUUUUCCCGACUCUGACUCAGGUUCGGGAUCUGUGUCAGAGCUCUUCGAAUCUAAAAGGGAUGCCAUUGAGCCAUCCCCUAAUCGCACCCUAUGGAACUUUGAUGUUUUUUUCUUCUGCUUAUUUUUACCAUCUGCGGUUCCUGAAUUUAGAUUAUAUCUGUCAUCAACAGAAUGAGAACUAUUCUCCACCUUCAGCAUUGACCGAUCACUUGUCCUCGCUACUGUUUGUGGUUCAUUUAUGAUGACAUUUGAUUUUCCCCUUGCAGCUCGAUAACCAUCCUUCGAUAAUAUCUCCACCUCGUCUUCUACAGGGGCCUUGUAGUUUGACUGCAGCUUUCGUACAGUGCUUAUAACCUCGUCUGCCAACUUAUCCUUUGAACUACUACUUGACGCACCAAUAGACUUCCCUUUGCCUUUCUUGUCCCCAUUACUUUGUUUUAAGCUCAUGCCUCCAUUUUCUCGUAUAUUAUUAUUGGUUGAAAAAUUGGCAUAGAAGGUAUCAACAAGGUCUCUCUGCUUCUCUGCAUCCGGACAGAGCUUGGCUAGCUCAAGAACAAGAUGUGUUAGACCAAACUGAUGCACAUGCAUUAAAUAUGUGCUAGCAUCCAUUAAACCUUGGCGAAAUUCUCCAGAUAUUUCUUUGAAAGCAAUGUAUUUGUCUUGAUCAAAUGAUAGACCUGCAUGUAUCCUCUCCACCAAAGACUUGUUGGCAGUUUGCACAUCUUCAACAUUUAAAACGGCCUGUAAAUUCAAAGGUUGCUUCUUCAUUGCAGAAACAGGAGGAAAGUCAGAUUCAGAAGAACCAGCUUCAACCAGAUUUGGAGCUGACGAGGAAUGGAUAAUCCUGCUAGA